This 207-nucleotide ribosomal RNA is filed under the name uncultured bacterium. RNAcentral describes it as "partial 16S ribosomal RNA". It matches the Rfam family "Bacterial small subunit ribosomal RNA", at positions 335 to 533 of the family's 1533-position model. The record is from RNAcentral.
ACUCCUACGGGAGGCAGCAGUGGGGAAUAUUGCACAAUGGGCGCAAGCCUGAUGCAGCCAUGCCGCGUGUAUGAAGAAGGCCUUCGGGUUGUAAAGUACUUUCAGCAGUGAGGAAGGUGGGUAUGUUAAUAGCAUACCUCAUUUGACGAUUAGCUGCAGAAGAAGCACCGGNUAACCCCGUGCACAGGCCGCGGUAAUACGGAGGGU